This 23-nucleotide non-coding RNA is filed under the name Cricetulus griseus (Chinese hamster). The record is from RNAcentral. RNAcentral also lists the same sequence under 1 other name. Lineage: Eukaryota; Metazoa; Chordata; Mammalia; Rodentia; Cricetidae.
AUGGGCUGGAGAGAUGGCUCAGU